CACAGAGGCGGAGGCCACAACGGCCGGGACCAAGAGAGACACGCGACACGCCAGCUCGCCCGUGCUGCGCCCUGCGACCAGCUCGCCGCUCGCCGCUCGCCUUGUCCGGCUCUUCUGUGCCGUGCUCGGUGCUCGCCGCUCCGAGCCGCCGUUUCGAAUGCCGGCACCCAAGUCGCGCCUGCUGCUGCUCGUCGCGGCAAUAUGGAGCCUGGGCCUGCUCUGCCCAGCCGCCGGGGAAGCUGGAGGCGGCUCCUGCGAGCUCUCCGUCGCGCGCGGUGGCGCGCUCUACAACUUCAGCCUCGCGGCGCCCACGCCCGCGCACCGCCACGGCGUGCUCAGCGAAGAUGGGUUUUACAAGGUUGCAGUGAAUGAUUCAGUAAUCUGGUUCCAGCUGUGCGAUCAGAUGAUAUUCAACUUUGACCCACCCGUCUGUCUUCGCUGUGAGGACUGUGGUGGUCCAUUGAGGUGUGGCACCCAAUGCAGUGCACUUGUGUCACAUUACAUUCGAGGGUAUGAUGUUUGCACAACCAUUGGAAGGGCAUCUGAAUCUCGCAUCUCUCUAAUAGAUGAAAGUAAUCCUCAAAAGGGUGUCAUUGUCAAGAUGUCCUCGUCAAAGUGCUCCAUUUCAGUUUUUAUCUUCUGUGAUUCAGCUGUAGUCCAACUACCAGAUAAAUUUAGCCACUCUGGAAAUUGUGAUUACGCUACAGUACUUAGACACCCCUCUGGUUGUGCAAGAUCGGUUUCUUCUUCUGGAAAUGGCUGGGGAUGGUUAAGAACUUCGUUCAUAACAAUGUUGUGCCUUUUUGGAGGGUAUAUUUUGAUCGGUGCAAUUUAUAGAUAUUAUUUCCUUGGGAUUCGUUCUAUAGAGGCCAUCCCGAACAUGGAAUUUUGGAUCAGCUUGCCACAAAAAGUUAAGAGUGUGUUUGUUCCUUCAACAAGAAACCCAAGAAGUCGCAGCAGAGAUACCAGAGGUCCUUAUGCCCCUGUAAACAAUUGAGAAGUAGAAAAAAAUCCAAGAACAGUAUUGGAAGCCAUACAGUUAAAAGCAUAUGUGUAGGGUGGAAGCUAAACCUUUGAUCUAUGUCAAUAUGUCAGGUCGAGGGGGAAGCUUCUUACAUGUCCAAUAGUUGAUUCUCUUUUUUUUUUUUUCUGAGAACAUGCAGGAGAGGCAAUAGUUGAUGUUUCACUAUGUACUCAGAUGAAAUUAUUAAGAUUUGGUUCAGUGGCACCCUAAAUGUAUUGGCCUUUCACUUAUUCAGUUUUUUGAGACCUUGAAUUUAGGAACAUAAAGCCAUGAUCUGUUUCUCGAAGUUAAAUUGCUCUGAUCA
RNA transcript from Lolium perenne, 1328 nucleotides. RefSeq lists it as uncharacterized. Lineage: Eukaryota; Viridiplantae; Streptophyta; Magnoliopsida; Poales; Poaceae. The record is from RefSeq and is a predicted model, not a curated record.